GCCCGUGUAGCUCAGUGGUAGAGCGUCCGGUCCACACCCGGAAGGCCCCAGGUUCGAGCCCUGGCGCGGGUA
RNAcentral lists this transfer RNA (72 nucleotides) under Micromonosporaceae bacterium. It matches the Rfam family "tRNA". Rfam says of the family: Transfer RNA (tRNA) molecules are approximately 80 nucleotides in length. Their secondary structure includes four short double-helical elements and three loops (D, anti-codon, and T loops). Lineage: Bacteria; Bacillati; Actinomycetota; Actinomycetes; Micromonosporales; Micromonosporaceae. The record is from Rfam by way of RNAcentral.